GGUAAAAUGACUGAAAUUAGGUAAUAAACUGUAAAUUUAUUUAUGAGAAUAAAAUUCUCUUUUACCA
RNAcentral lists this transfer RNA (67 nucleotides) under Sialis longidens. RNAcentral's name for it is "tRNA-Tyr". Lineage: Eukaryota; Metazoa; Arthropoda; Insecta; Megaloptera; Sialidae. The record is from RNAcentral.